GACGAACGCUGGCGGCGUGCUUAACACAUGCAAGUCGAACGGAAAGGCCCUGCUUUUGUGGGGUGCUCGAGUGGCGAACGGGUGAGUAACACGUGAGUAACCUGCCCUUGACUUUGGGAUAACUUCAGGAAACUGGGGCUAAUACCGGAUAGGAGCUCCUGCUGCAUGGUGGGGGUUGGAAAGUUUCGGCGGUUGGGGAUGGACUCGCGGCUUAUCAGCUUGUUGGUGGGGUAGUGGCUUACCAAGGCUUUGACGGGUAGCCGGCCUGAGAGGGUGACCGGCCAAAUUGGGACUGGGGUACGGCCCGGACCCCUACGGGAGGAAGCGGUGGGGAAAAUUCGAAAAGGGGCGGAAGCCGGAUGGAGCAACCCCGGUGGGGGGAUGCCGGCCUUCGGGUUGUAACCCGCUUUCGCCUGUGACGAAGCGGGGGUGACGGAAAUGGGUAAAGAAGCACCGGCUAACUACGU
This 467-nucleotide ribosomal RNA is filed under the name uncultured bacterium. RNAcentral describes it as "partial 16S ribosomal RNA". It matches the Rfam family "Bacterial small subunit ribosomal RNA", at positions 28 to 506 of the family's 1533-position model. The record is from RNAcentral.